This 88-nucleotide ribosomal RNA is filed under the name Ipomoea nil (Japanese morning glory). Lineage: Eukaryota; Viridiplantae; Streptophyta; Magnoliopsida; Solanales; Convolvulaceae. The record is from RNAcentral.
GGAUCCCAUCAGAACUCCGAAGUUAAGCGUGCUUGGGCGAGAGUAGUACUAGGAUGGGUGACCCUGGGAAGUCCUCGUGUUGCAUCCC